UUUCAGACAUGUCCUUAAAUGCUGAUCGUGGGGGUACAAUACCUCAGCGGAAGAAGGGUGACUAACGCGUGGUGACGUACCUUUUGGUUCGGGACAACACAACGUAAACUUGUGGUAGUGCCGAACCAGCCCUUCCAGGGAAAGAUUUAUCGCCGAAAGAUCGGUCCGAGUCUGAUUAGAUAUGUGGCAGGGUAAUGACCUAUCAAGGCGACCAUCCCUAACUGGCCUGAUAGGAUGAUCAUUCACAUUGGGACUGAGACACGGCCCAAACUCCUACGGGAGGCUGCCGUGGUCAAUAUUGUACUAUGGGGGCAACCCUGAUCCACCCCUGCCGCGGGAGUGAUGAAUGCCCUAGGCUUGUGAAGCUCUUUUGUCCCGGAAGAUAAUGUCGGCCCCCCUCGAAUAAGCCCCGGUUAACUUCGUGCCGCCAGCCGCGGUUAUACGAAUGGGGCUAGCGUUGCUCGUAAUCACUGCCCGUCCUGGGUGCGUAAGCGGCUCUUUAAGUCCUGCGCGAAAUCCUGGAGUUCAACUCCAGAACUGCCUUUGAUACUGAACAUCUUGAAUUCCUUAGAGUUUGAUUCAACUGCGAGUGCUCACCUGAAAUUACGAGAUAUUCGUAAGCAAACCAGCUGGCGAAGGAGGCUCACUGGCCCGAGACUGUACUCUGAUUACCGAAAGGCGUGCCGAGCAAACCUGAAUUAUGAUAUCCUGGCAAUCCUCUCCCGGAAACGAAGGAAGGUAAGCCGCCUAGUGGGGUUUACUCUCCCAACGGGGGCACCUUACGGAUUUUAAAAUUUACUUCCUGGGC
This 808-nucleotide ribosomal RNA is filed under the name Bradyrhizobium sp. TSBF-695. Its description in RNAcentral is "bacterial SSU rRNA". It matches the Rfam family "Bacterial small subunit ribosomal RNA", at positions 47 to 873 of the family's 1533-position model. The record is from RNAcentral. Lineage: Bacteria; Pseudomonadati; Pseudomonadota; Alphaproteobacteria; Hyphomicrobiales; Nitrobacteraceae.